This 62-nucleotide transfer RNA is filed under the name Alectorobius fonsecai. Its description in RNAcentral is "tRNA-Phe". The record is from RNAcentral. Lineage: Eukaryota; Metazoa; Arthropoda; Arachnida; Ixodida; Argasidae.
AUUUCUAUAGUUUAAAAUUAAAAUAUAAUAGUGAAAAUAUUAUGAUAUAAAGUUUAGGAAUA